AGAGGCCUGUGGGUGGAGCGCGGCGCUCGCCCCCUGGCCCACAGGACCAGAAGGAGGUUCAAGGGCACCCCGGCCCCAGAUCACGGGUCUAGCCACCUGGAUCCUAUCUCGGGGCUGUUCCUCACAGUGAGGCGGCCAUCAACAGCUCACUUCACCUCUCUGGCCUCAGUUUCUCCUGUGUAAAGCCCCUGGGUUGGAGGAGGCAUGGUUUCUGAGGUCCCUUCCAGCUGUCCGGGGCUGUGAUUGUCCGCCUGGACCGUCCCUCGCAGCAGGAGGUCUGGAAAGCCCAGGGUGAUGUCUGGCCAGUUACCCAACCUCAGCGUUAUCACCUGUGCAAUGGAGACGAUCGCCGUAGACACUGCAGCGGGGCGGUGGGGAGGCUCGCCGGACAUCAGAGCUGGAGCAACAGCGCAGGCACUCUAAACUCCAGGCCCCCUGGCUCACUGCCUACUCCAAGCCACGACCCUUGGCUAGGAGUUAAAGACAGCACCUGUUCAGCGUUUGAGGGCCAAGAAAAAGAAAGAGAAGAAGAAGGAGGAGAAGAAGGAGAAGAAAAAGGAGGAGGAGAAGAAGAAGAAGAAGAAAAAGAAGAAAAAGAAGAAGGAGAAGAAGAAGAAGAAGAAGAAGAAGAAGAAGAGGAAAGAAGAAGAAGAAGGGGAAGAAGGGGAGGAGGAGGAGGGGAGGGGGAGGAGGAGGAGGAGGAGGAAGAAGACUCAACUUAA
Molecule: long non-coding RNA, 722 nt
Filed under: Ursus maritimus (polar bear)
Lineage: Eukaryota; Metazoa; Chordata; Mammalia; Carnivora; Ursidae
Description: lncRNA (ENSUMAG00000021020.1)
Source: RNAcentral